Molecule: long non-coding RNA, 775 nt
Organism: Papaver somniferum (opium poppy)
Lineage: Eukaryota; Viridiplantae; Streptophyta; Magnoliopsida; Ranunculales; Papaveraceae
Exons: 4
Source: RefSeq, a predicted model, not a curated record
ACUUCUUUUUCAUUUCUCUUUUUCUCCGCCCCCUCUUUCUAUCUCUCUCCAAGAACCUCCCAAAAUCACCUAUUCAAUUGAAAAAUUCGAAGUAAAAUCUUAAAAAUCAGAUAAAAAAGUUGUUGAUAGAUCAGAGAGAUUUAACAGAUCAAUUGAAACAUAGAAGAUCAGAGAAAAUUAAAAACAGAAUCAAAGCUAGGCUUGGUCUCCACUUUACUGUAAAUCUUCAAUUGAAGAUACAAAAUUGAAGGUCUGUUCAUCAACAAAAACAUCUUUAAAGGUGAAGCGGAAUUUAGUACUUGCUGUGAUAGCAAACAACAAAAUCAAGUGAUUCUGUUGGUGUAAAGAAAUCAUCGGCUUCUCUUGGUGUUAAGAAAUUAGGAAAGGUAAAAAAAGGAACGUGGAUUUGGCUCUUCUUACACAUGUAGACCAUGCAUAAGUGUGCAGCCACCAAGUCUGGAUCGUGAUAGUGAAUUUGUAAGUAGAUACCCGAGAGAAGAUGAUCAUGAGAGAGAUGCAGGCACUCCUGCAGAAAGACACAGUACUAAGAACAGAAAGGAUUUGAACUGUUCAUGGGCUUGACACAGAUGCAGAUGAAGAUGAUUUAAUGUGUUAAAGUUGUAGAAAUCCACUUAGGAAUAGUCCAAGGUUUUGCUUUUGUUAGAUUUGUGUCUGUUGAAUGACACUCUUAACUGAAAUGAACGAACCACUAUGAUGCAUUGCAGGCAUACAAAAUUAUGGAGAUAUCUUAAAUAUACAAACUAGUCCAUGCAAA